UACGAAGGGGGCUAGCGUUGUUCGGAAUCACUGGGCGUAAAGGGCGCGUAGGCGGCCUACUAAGUCAGACGUGAAAUCCCCCGGCUUAACCUGGGAACUGCGUCUGAUACUGGAAGGCUUGAGUAUGGGAGAGGGAUGUAGAAUUCCAGGUGUAGCGGUGAAAUGCGUAGAUAUCUGGAGGAAUACCGGUGGCGAAGGCGGGUCUCUGGGCAGUAACUGACGCUGAGGAGCGAAAGCGUGGGGAGCGAACAGG
RNAcentral lists this ribosomal RNA (253 nucleotides) under uncultured bacterium. Its description in RNAcentral is "partial 16S ribosomal RNA". It matches the Rfam family "Bacterial small subunit ribosomal RNA", at positions 524 to 776 of the family's 1533-position model. The record is from RNAcentral.